Molecule: long non-coding RNA, 1781 nt
Organism: Daphnia pulex (common water flea)
Lineage: Eukaryota; Metazoa; Arthropoda; Branchiopoda; Diplostraca; Daphniidae
Exons: 4
Source: RefSeq, a predicted model, not a curated record
GGGAGAUUAAAUAAAAGAGUUACACCUGUUCCUAGUUUGUGAAAUGUUAUAAUUUUCAGACUAUCAUUUCAAUCAUAUUUAAGGCCUGUGCCAGCCAUCAUUACCACAAGAUAUGCCAGUUUUGCAUGUCACACCAUUGCUUGGAUAAACAGCAUUUCUCUUGAUUGGAGAAACCACCGAUGUCGUCCCAGUUAAGGAUCUCUUCUUCCCCUUUCUUUGACCAACAUGGGUGUAUCGAGUGUAUACACGAGGACGCCCUUUUUCCUAUUCCGCCUGGCGUACUCAACUCUUUUGUGGAUGGGGCACUUGUGGAUGCCUGGCUUUUUUCACAGGCUUAAAGACAGGGUUCAUUUGGUAACCCAUUUGUAGAACGACUGCAGAUCAGGCCUGUUUUUGUAAUAUUUUAACUUUAAACACUUCAAGCAACGAGCAAAUAGAAAAUGUUACGACCAAGAGGGACCUGCCCGCCACAACGGCACCUCCUCUAUGUUUCCAUGGAGACGAUAUUGUAUAUAGGACGUUGGAGAUUCAGCAAUUCAGAUUUGAAAUUCGAUCCCCCCCGCUGUCGUUGCCGAUCUUAUUUGGGACUUUUUGAUGCGCGGUAUACUCAGCGAACGUGUCGAGUUUGAAAAUAGUUUUCCGUGUUUCCACUUUCAUUUCCAUCCUUGGGCGAUGUCAAAAUGCAUAUGCUAUUACAACAUCCAAGCGGAGCCGACAUCCUCACAUAUAACUUUCUCUCCCCCUUUGCCAUCCGCCAUAGAGCGAUCGAUUUUUCCGGGAAUUUCUUUUCCUAUACUGCACAAAACAACAUCACCAAAGGAAAUCAGCUUAUAGCUUAUACAGUGCAGCACAAUAUAUGAUAAGACAUCAGUGUUAACGUACACUUGAGUGGAUUUUGAGUGGGAUGCCAUUGGAUAUUCGUUGUUCGCUUAUCCGCACUCAUCUCAGUCAAUAAGCGAUCCCGUCCGACUUGUGAAGACGCUUUCAACGGAACUCGUACGGACAUAAGCACAAUAUAAGACCCAACUUGUAAGCGCUCUCCUCAAGGCAGCCAAAUACUUUCGACACAUAAUAUAGCGCCCGCCAUGAGUCUCCGUCCAGAAGAAGAAGAGGAAGAGGAACUUGUUAUUCUGACCUCCUGACGAUGGGGAAUAGAAAUUUGUCAAUCCAUUCACUCGUUGACGCACAGUCUAGAUUUUAUCCAAUAAAAUACAAAGAAUCUUCCAUCAGUCAUCCCCAAAAGGUUGAACACCAACUGAAUUUGAAAAAGUUUAGGUGUCGAAAAACACGCAGGAUUUUUAGCGGCUGCUCGAGUGACUCAAGGGGACAGUGUCAAUAGUUGAUAAUGAACCUCGUUCAACCGUCGUUAAGCCGGGGUGAAAAAAAUAUAUUGUCAUUAGCGAAGAAAACAACACGUACUCGCUCGUUUCAUUAUGCUGAACAAAACAUGUAGCCUUCAGGUCAUUGCAGCUGUUGGUGUCAUACCUCGUCUCUUGUUGAAGUGGAGUUCGUGUCCCUUUGAUGACGAGUUGAGUUGAAUCACAGCUUGCUAGCUGCCGCAGGAAACGUCGAACCAGACGUCUUGAUAUGAUUUCCGGUCAUGAAAGAUAUAUAUGUAGCGUCGAGUGCCCAGCAGCUCCGUGAUGAGUCAAAGGUUUGUGUACAAACAUUGCCUGAUCAAAGAUCUGUAUAGUUGUCUCCGAAAUAACGUUUCGUAUGAUCUGACUCCCGUCACGUCACAAGGGGGUGUAUAGUGUACGAUGAUACACCCCCGUCGUCUG